RNAcentral lists this ribosomal RNA (287 nucleotides) under uncultured bacterium. RNAcentral describes it as "partial 16S ribosomal RNA". It matches the Rfam family "Bacterial small subunit ribosomal RNA", at positions 775 to 1067 of the family's 1533-position model. The record is from RNAcentral.
GGAUUAGAUACCCUGGUAGUCCACGCCGUAAACUAUGAUUACUCGAUAUUGGCGAUAUACGGUCAGUGUCUAAGCGAAAGUGAUAAGUAAUCCACCUGGGGAGUACGGUCGCAAGAUUGAAACUCAAAGGAAUUGACGGGGGCCCGCACAAGCGGUGGAGCAUGUGGUUUAAUUCGAUGAUACGCGAGGAACCUUACCAGGGCUUAAAUGCAUAAUGACAGAUUGGGAAACCAAUUUUUCUUCGGACAGAAUGCAAGGUGCUGCAUGGCUGUCGUCAGCUCGUGCCG